GUGCUCACUUUGGCAGCACAUGCACUAAAAUUGGAAGGAUACGAGAAGAUUAGCAUGGCCCUUGUGCAAGGAUGACACACAAAUUUGUGAAGAGAAAAAAAAAGAG
RNAcentral lists this small nuclear RNA (106 nucleotides) under Propithecus coquereli (Coquerel's sifaka). Lineage: Eukaryota; Metazoa; Chordata; Mammalia; Primates; Indriidae. The record is from RNAcentral.